UGGGGAAACACUCCUCGCUUGAAUGCCGGUAUAAGUUAGUUGUGUUUCCUCUAGACGUUGCAACUUUAGUGCAACAGGUUUUGCACAGUACCUGUUUCUGGUGCACAUCUGCAGCCUCAAACCCGAAAUACUCCCAAAUGACCGACGUACUGUUUUUCUUGGGGUUUAAAAUCCCCAACUCCGCUUCUGGUUCUGCUGAAGCCAUUUUUAAACACGUAAAGAUUUCAAAGCGCAAGGAGCAUGUUAAUACUGAUUGGUUAGCAUGACCUGUCCACGAGCAGAAUGCUGCCUCUGAUUGGUGAGAUUGCCAGGAUGGUAGGAUUACGGCAUGUAUGUGUAAAAUAGUUGACACAACAGAUCCUGGGUCAGUCAGGAGCGCUGUAAAAACCGCAGCUUUGAUGAUCACGUGAUCGCGUCGUCUGAAAUUGCAAUUUUGAUCAGAAAACGAUAAAUCGUUCAGCCC
Molecule: long non-coding RNA, 463 nt
Organism: Melanotaenia boesemani (Boeseman's rainbowfish)
Lineage: Eukaryota; Metazoa; Chordata; Actinopteri; Atheriniformes; Melanotaeniidae
Exons: 3
Source: RefSeq, a predicted model, not a curated record